Lactuca sativa (garden lettuce) is the source of this 2208-nucleotide non-coding RNA. The record is from RefSeq and is a predicted model, not a curated record. NCBI's taxonomy places the organism in Eukaryota, Viridiplantae, Streptophyta, Magnoliopsida, Asterales, Asteraceae.
CAUAACCCAAUUUUAACCUAAAGACGCCUCCUAGUCUACCGUUCACUUCUCUCAGCGUCCAUCCUCCCGUUCUCUCUUCACCACUUCGAUCGCCGGCCAGAUACUGACGUCGAUCGUCGCUCAGACUACGGACGUCGACCGCCGUUCGGGAUGUCGACGGCAGCUGCGACAGUGGUACUCUUCCUCUGCGCUGAGCACUAUCCAGACGGUACCCUUCUUCUACACCGGUCUGUUUCCCCGACGUCGACCGGAGAACUAAUCUCCGCCGGCGAGCUUCAUCUGAGAAGUGAUGAUGACAGUGUGGCGAGUAUGAGCAAAAGAAGAAGACAUGAAAGAGUUGUGGGGGUUUCGGAUUAAUUUAAUUAAACAUGAGCAAUGUGGUUUUUAAGGUCAAUUCCGCUGUUAUUGGUUAUUACAGUUACUUAUAAAACCAAUAUGGCUACAAAUGUUUGUAAGGUUCAACAUUGUCAUAAAAUCAGGCCUCAAGUCCAACCUUAUCAUUCUAGCAUAUACCGUCAAAGCUUCACCUUCUCUUCCAUGUUUAGCAAGAGCAUAAUCACUGAAGCCCAAAUGUGUGAAUUCAUCUUCGUAAUUGAUGUUAAGAAAAAAACUUUUAUCAAGUACUCAAGGAAGACACAAUUAGAGUAACCCCAAAUUAGAUUGUUUCUUACACACAUGUAGUAAUCUCAUGCUUUUUUGAUAUCAGAAUCAACCGUCUUCAAACUUCUAAUUUUACUAUUAGAGAAAUUUUUUAUAAUUGUGGUUAGUGUUUGCUCGUUGGGACAGAGAUCUCUUAGUCCUGACAAACGCAAGCUAAUCACAAUAUGAAAAUUUUCCUCGAUGAUGCAAUUAAAUGUUUUCAAGAUGGUUCAUUCUUAUGUUAUCAAAUAAUCAAAGUACGAGAUUACUACAUCUUUAUGAGAAACAAUCUAAUUAAGGGUUAUUCUAAUUGUAUCUCUUUUGAGUACGCGAUAAAAGAUUUUCAUAACAUCAAGAUUAGGAAGAUAAAUUCGUAUAGUUGGAAUUCACUGAUCAAUGCUUUUUGCUAAACAUGGAAGAGGAGCUAAAGCUUUGGCAGUAUUUGAUAGAAUAAUAAGUUUGGAUUUGAAGAACAAUUAUGUGACAAUGUUUAAUGUUAUAAGCGCGUGUAGCCAUGUUAACUUUAUAAGCCAAGACAUACAAAUUUUCAUUAUACCGACCAUGGAGUUGGCCCCAAGUAAUCAAACUUUGUUCAUAUUUAGUUGACUUAAUCACAAGACCCGACUACUUGGUGGAAGCUAAGUUAUUGAUCCCAAGUUAGCGAGGAAGACUGUCGGUAAGGACUCAUUAAAUAUAAUUUUCGCUAGGAAGAGUUUCCAACAAAAAAAAUUGAAAUGAGGGUAGAAGGACUAGAAACAAUGGUGCUUUAGGAACCACAAUUGGCCAAAUUUGAUAAUAGACAGGUACAUAUAAGUAGCUUCUUUGUUAUCUCCUUUUAUUUUCAACGUAUUUGAAAAUGUCCCCCCUUUUUAACCACUUGUAGCUGUGUUCCUGGCAUUAUUGUCAAUAGCGAUCAUAGCGAUAGCUAUAGCGAAUAAUGAGGCGAGGCGAUGCAAUGUUGCAAUGGGGUUCAAAGUGACUGAAUAGCGACGUAGCGAUAUUUAUUGGUUUUCUUCAAAUUAGAUGUUUUUUUUUCUUCAAGAUUUUGAUUUGGAAGUUAUCAUUCCAAUAAAUGCACAUCCUCAUAACCAGAAAGGUUUGAUGGAAAUGCUGAAGGUAGUGCUCAAACUUCAAAAUUAAGGCUACCAUGUAUUAAAGAAGUUGAAGUUAAUGGUAUCACUGUGAAGAUCAAAUAUUGUGUUGAAAGAUUUGUCAUCAUUGCCCUUGGGUUGGACAAUGUAUAGGCCUGGGUCUCUUUGGGCAGCUUUAAGGGUAACUUAUCAGUCAGUUUGGUUAGCUCCAGAGUGAUCUUGGGAUGACUAGUCAGCUGUGUUUACUAUCAGUAUGAUGUUUACAAAACUCGUCAUGCUCAUGCAUGCAAACUAACUUUGGUUUCCUAGUUUCUCCAUUGUUGAUACUAUUGGAUGCCAAAGUAGAUUGAGUUUCAGCUUUAUUUGAUGGAUUGAUUAUAUGCACAUCAUUUCAUAUGAUUCCUUAGUGUAGAUAUACCGUAUGUUUUAGAUGUGCAAUUGAAUUCUUUACCACAAUAAAUGUAUACACUUUUUCUUA